GGCGCGUGGCUUAGUGGUUAGGGUAUUCGGCUCACAAUCGUAGGGACAUGAGUUCAAUUCUCGGUGACGCCU
Octopus bimaculoides (California two-spot octopus) is the source of this 72-nucleotide non-coding RNA. The record is from Rfam. NCBI's taxonomy places the organism in Eukaryota, Metazoa, Mollusca, Cephalopoda, Octopoda, Octopodidae.